UUUCAUGCGCUCCCGUUGAAACGCCUGGGCUGUUGUUUCCCGGGGCUUCGGAGGAGAAGUUGACCCCGCUUUGGAGAAAAAAAAAACGCCUGGGAUCUUUAGUCGGAAAAGCGCACACUUUUUCCGCGCGGGGACCGGAUCUGUGAAGCUGAAUGGGAAGGGUGUAAACCGGGCCGAAGCCAAGGGGGUUUCACCUAUCCAUCACCUUGGAGCGGCUGCGUGGUGCGUUUGGAGACACUACGACUCCUCCAGCCGGCGUGAGCACCGCUGCAGCACCGAGGGAAUGACACACACACACACCGAGAUGGUUCACGACUACCCGGGGAGACUUGCAGAGACUCUACUGUGAACUUUUCUAUCCUAGAACUGAACAAGACAAGAGGGGAUUAGGAAAAGGGCUUCUUCUUCUUUUUCUUCUUGUGCGUUUUAUCUGCUGAGGGAUUAAUUAUGCCAGACCAAAUCACAGUUUCAGAGUUUGUGGCAGAGACCAAUGAAGAUUAUAAAUCGCCGACUGCUUCCAACUUCACCACCAGGAUGUCCCACUGCAGGAAUACAGUAGCUGCUUUGGAGGAGGCUCUGGAUGUGGACCGCAGUGUUUUAUACAAGAUGAAGAAGUCUGUGAAGGCCAUCUACACGUCUGGUCUGGCCCAUGUAGAGAAUGAGGAGCAGUACACUCAGGCCCUGGAGAAGUUUGGAGAAAACUGCGUGUACAGAGAUGAUCCUGAUCUGGGUUCAGCCUUCCUCAAGUUCUCCGUCUUCACCAAGGAGCUCACUGCACUCUUCAAAAACCUGUUCCAAAACAUGAACAACAUCAUCACCUUUCCUCUGGACAGCCUGCUGAAAGGAGACCUGAAAGGAGUCAAAGGGGAUUUGAAGAAACCCUUCGAUAAAGCUUGGAAGGACUAUGAAACGAAAGUCACCAAGAUAGAAAAAGAGAAGAAGGAACAUGCAAGGCAACACGGGAUGAUCAGGACAGAAAUUAGCGGGGCUGAGAUUGCAGAAGAGAUGGAGAAAGAGAGGAGAUUCUUCCAAUUGCAGAUGUGUGAGUAUCUCCUCAAAGUCAACGAGAUCAAGAUCAAGAAGGGUGUGGAUCUGCUGCAGAACCUCAUCAAGUACUUCCAUGCGCAGUGCAAUUUCUUUCAGGACGGUCUGAAAGCUGUGGACAACCUGAAGCCUUCCAUAGAGAAACUGGCCACAGAUCUGCACACGAUAAAACAGGUGCAGGACGAGGAGAGAAAGCAGCUUACUCAGUUACGAGACGUUCUCAAGUCAUCACUACAGGUGGAACAAAAGGAGUCUAGGAGAGAUUCCCAGGUGCGGCAGAGUACCACAUACAGCCUGCACCAACCGCAAGGCAACAAGGAACAUGGCACGGAGCGUAGUGGGUACCUUUACAAGAAGAGUGACGGGUUGAGGAAAGUGUGGCAGAAGAGGAAGUGCACAGCGAAAAAUGGAUACCUCACCAUCUCACAUGGCACAGCGAACAGACCACCAGCUAAACUCAACCUGCUCACCUGCCAGGUGAAACACAAUCCAGAAGAGAAGAGGAGCUUUGACCUCAUCUCUCAUGACAGAACGUAUCACUUUCAAGCUGAGGAUGACCAGGAUUGUCAGAUCUGGAUCUCAGUGUUGCAAAACAGUAAGGAGGAGGCGCUGAACCAGGCCUUUAAAGGGGACCAGCAUGUCGGCGAGAACAACAUAGUGCAGGAGCUGACCAAGGCGAUCCUGGGCGAGGUCAAGAGGAUGACGGGAAAUGACGUUUGCUGUGACUGCGGAGCGCCAAAUCCAACAUGGCUGUCCACCAACUUGGGCAUCCUCACGUGUAUUGAAUGUUCAGGGAUCCACAGGGAGCUGGGUGUGCACUACUCCAGGAUCCAGUCCCUCACUCUGGAUGUACUCAGCACCUCAGAGCUCUUGCUGGCCAAGAAUGUGGGGAAUGCGGGCUUUAAUGAAAUCAUGGAGGCUUGUUUAAGUGCCGAAAAUGUGGUGAAACCCAACCCAGGCAGUGACAUGCAGGCGAGGAAAGACUUCAUCACAGCCAAGUACACCGAGAAGCGUUUUGCCAGGAAGAAGUGUCCGGAUUCAACGUCGCGGCUCCAUACGUUGUGUGAGGCAGUGAAGGCCCGGGAUAUUUUCUCCCUCAUCCAGGUGUACGCCGAGGGAAUCGACCUCAUGGAGCCCAUUCCUCUGGCCAACGGACACGAACAAGGGGAGACAGCGCUUCAUUUAGCAGUCAGACUGGUCGAUAGAACUUCUCUUCAUAUUGUUGACUUCCUCACACAAAACAGUCUGAAUCUGGAUAAGCAGACGGCCAAAGGCAGCACCGCUCUGCAUUACUGCUGCCUGACUGACAACAGCGAGUGUCUGAAACUGCUGCUGCGAGGGAAGGCCUCCAUAGACAUCGCUAAUGAGGCUGGGGAGACACCACUGGAUAUCGCUCGGAGGCUCAAACAUCUACAGUGUGAGGAGCUGUUGAACCAAGCGCUGGCAGGGAAAUUCAACGCCCACGUUCACGUUGAGUAUGAAUGGUGCCUGCAGCAUGAGGACUUGGAUGAGAGCGACGAAGAUCUGGAUGAGAAGCCGAGCCCUCAUCGCAGAGACGAGCGUCCCGUCAGCUGUUACACCCCCAGCAGUAACUCCCACCUCGCCAAGGACAAGCAGCGAGCCUACAUGCCCAACCUGGUCAACAAUGAGACCUACGGCACCAUCCUCAGCACAAAUCCACCCCAGCCCGGAAUGCCCUCCACCACCUCUGCACCGCCCCUGCCCCCAAGGAAUCUGGUCCAGUUAUCCGGUCUGGGAGGAAUGGGUCAGUCCUCAGCAUCCAGCAGCUGGAAGCCUGGCUCUUUAGAUCUGUGCGGGCGACAGAGGUCGUCCUCGGACCCUCCCAACAUGCACCCCCCUGUCCCCCCUAUGAGACUCACCUCAACUGGAGGUCUGGCCCCUUCUGUGGUGAAAGCGGCGGGUAUGAUGGAAGCUAUGAAUAUACAGUCCAAAUCGGGUCAGGGACCAGCGGGGUCCAGGGCAGCACCACCCAAAUCCCCUGCAGGCAACGACAAAAGCUUCAGCAGAGGGCCGCUGAAUCGAACAGAAUCUAUCGAAAGACCAGCUAAGGAAGUGCCAGGAUGCCCCCAGAACUCCAUAGGUCAGUCCCUGCCUCCAGCCCCCAUGCCGAGGAAGGCCUACACGAAACAGAGGCCGAAGCGAGUGAAGGCCAUCUACAACUGUAUAGCGGACAACCCUGACGAGCUGACCUUCUCGGAGGGCGAGGUGAUCGUGGUGGACGGCGAGGAGGACCAGGAGUGGUGGGUAUAGAAGACGUUAAAAAAACUGGAUUAUUUUCAGUUCUGUCUUCUUUAUCACAUAAGCUUGGCCACAUCGAAGGUGAUCCGAUGAGGCGAGGAGCUUUCCCGGUCACAUUUGUGCACUUCAUUGCAGACUGAAGGAUAAAUGUAAUCGUGUCGGGUUCAGGUCUGGGAUGCAGCGUCUUCCCAUCACCUUUGUUUCUGUUAGCCAAAAGCCAGCGAGAACACCGCUAACAGUUGUGUCGUCAUCAUCAUGGUCGUCGUCAUCAUCAUCAGCUUUAGUGGCACCAUCUGCGAACCACACCUUGACUCCGCUUGGGCGUGGUCACGGCAACGGUCACACCACAAAGUCUGGGUAUCACUUUUUCGCAGCCAUGUACUCAUACUGUAGGACCAUAUGUGGUUUUAACGCUUGCUGUUGAUGUUUCUGACUAUAAGAUUUUCAAGUGAUGAUUGUAGUGAAUGACCUCUUGCGAUGAAUGCACUUUCCUCGUCUUUGUCCUCGUUACAGCCUAACAUUUGACACAAUGAAGGUUAUAUGUACAGUAUUCAUUUCCUCCAUUUUCUGUUAAAAGUGAUAGACGGCAAUGUAUUUAAACUUACUACUAACUGUAAAUGUGAACAUGCUUACAUUCCACCUCUGUGUUGAGCGUCUUCCUGCUUCUAGGUGCAACUGUUGAAUCUGUAGUGCAGUAGGCCUCCUGUGUGGAGCCAGACACUUCUUAAUGGUGCUAAGUUAUACCUGGAAUAUGCUCGAAGCCGCCCCCCGAGGGAGCGCUUCCCUGACCCCGUUUUAAAGACAGACCGGUGUUGAAAAAGAAAAUUGGGGGGUUGCUGCAUGCAGAAAAUAGCCCUCCACUCAUGACACCUGGGAAAUCACACUUUCUCAUGUGUGUGUGAGCGCUGCAAAUGAAUUCAGUCAUUCUACGAGUGCUUUGUCGUGUCUUAAUUUCAUCCACGUGCUCAUUCUGCCAGUACAGUUUUAGCACGGAGGAUAUUAAUCCACACAACACUCCAGUUUUUUUUUCCCCCCGUCUUACUGUUUUAGGUCAAAUGACGACACUGACUGAAGCUGCAGCAGCCAGUAGUAAUUACCUUUUGCUUCGUCCGACACUUGAGGCUAUUUCUGCCUGUCAUCUGCCUUAUUAGCUUUAGCAAAAUAGCAAGUGUGUCUCAUUCACAGAGUAAGCUGAGGAUGAAAGAACAAUAAAAUAGUAGGACGUUAAAAAAAAGAGCCUAUGCUAACAAGAGGGAGGCCGCUCUGUGACUGUAGUUUCUUCCUCUUGCCUUUGAGCACAUUCACUCUUACAGGCUGAUUCAGUGUUCACAUUCGAGCUAAAUCCAGUUUAUAUCUGACACUCUAUACAAGCAGCCAUAGAGAGACUAUGUAAACCUAAUGUAUCUGUACAUCUCUGGGGUCCCAUAAUGUAGAAAGAGGAGUUUUAUCUAUAGUGUUAUGAAAUAAAUCUAAAACAUUCAAUGUAAUUAACUUCAUUUUGGUUGCAGAGCAACUUUCUUUGUUUAUAAAUACUGUAUGUUGAUAUUAAGGCAUUUAACAGGAAACCGGAGCCUUCUAUGGAUUUGUGAAUGACACAAAGAGAAGCAUGUGAACUGAAGGUGAUAAACACUCUUCACUCCGUUUAAUAUAAACUCACUGGAAACAGGAAGAUUUAUUAAUCUAUACGUGUACAUAGAUUUGGUUUGUUUGUUGAUAUUUAAAUGUAAAGCGUUAACCUGGGCAGUAAAUGUCUUUUAAUGCACUGUGGUGAUGAGCAGUUACAGAUACAACCUCAGCUGGACUUGUGUGUGUGUGUGUGUGUGUGUGUGGGUGUGCAGAAAUACACAAUACACACACAUCUGGGAAAUACACGUAAUCCUUUCACAUUAACUGUUAGAGGAUCGAGGUAUCCGCUCUUAACUCUGUUGUGCAAGUAAACGGGAAAAUGAAACUGGAAUAAUAAAAUACGAAAUACAA
Sphaeramia orbicularis (orbiculate cardinalfish) is the source of this 5280-nucleotide RNA transcript. It is a transcript of the gene named ArfGAP with SH3 domain, ankyrin repeat and PH domain 2a, with no coding region annotated. The record is from RefSeq and is a predicted model, not a curated record. Lineage: Eukaryota; Metazoa; Chordata; Actinopteri; Kurtiformes; Apogonidae. The transcript is spliced from 30 exons.